Non-coding RNA from Nylanderia fulva, 186 nucleotides. NCBI's taxonomy places the organism in Eukaryota, Metazoa, Arthropoda, Insecta, Hymenoptera, Formicidae. The record is from RefSeq and is a predicted model, not a curated record.
AUAAUAACUCUAUGAAUUCUUUAGAGUUUCCUGCAGUGGACCGAAGUGGUCUACAUGCAACGUAUUUAACGGAACCUUGGGCAAAGGAUGCAGUUGAGUUUCCCUUUUGAACCUGUUAAGCGCGUUAUUGGCUGUAAGACAGGAUAUUCGAAUCCGCAAGCUGAAGGAACUCAAGUCGUCUCUCCA